This 245-nucleotide ribosomal RNA is filed under the name uncultured bacterium. Its description in RNAcentral is "partial 16S ribosomal RNA". It matches the Rfam family "Bacterial small subunit ribosomal RNA", at positions 524 to 768 of the family's 1533-position model. The record is from RNAcentral.
UACGGAGGGUGCAAGCGUUAAUCGGAAUUACUGGGCGUAAAGCGUGCGUAGGCGGUCCGCUAAGUCAGAUGUGAAAGCCCUGGGCUUAACCUGGGAACUGCAUUUGAUACUGGCGAACUAGAGUUGAGUAGAGGAGAGUGGAAUUUCAGGUGUAGCGGUGAAAUGCGUAGAGAUCUGAAGGAACACCAGUGGCGAAGGCGGCUCUCUGGACUCAAACUGACGCUGAGGUACGAAAGCGUGGGUAG